Molecule: ribosomal RNA, 605 nt
Filed under: uncultured Actinomycetes bacterium
Lineage: Bacteria; Bacillati; Actinomycetota; Actinomycetes
Description: bacterial SSU rRNA
Rfam family: Bacterial small subunit ribosomal RNA
Source: RNAcentral
UACAGAAAAUGACUGAGCGGCGAACGGGUGAGUAACGCGUGAGCAAUCUACCUUAGUUACAGGUAUAGCCCGAGGAAACUCGGAUUAAUACCUGAUAUUCUUUAUAUUUCGCAUGAAAUUAAAAGGAAAGGUCAGCCGAACUAAGAUGAGCUCGCGUUCUAUCAGCUAGUUGGUGAGGUAAAAGCUCACCAAGGCUACGACGGAUAGCUGGUCUGAGAGGACGAUCAGCCACACUGGGACUGAGACACGGCCCAGACUCCUACGGGAGGCUGCAGCAGGGAAUAUUGCGCAAUGAGCGAAAGCUUGACGCAGCGACACCGCGUGUGGGAUGACGGAUCUAGGUUUGUAAACCACUUUCAGGAGGGAAGAAAAUGACGGUACCUCCACAAGAAGCCCCGGCCAACUACGUGCCAGCAGCCGCGGUAAUACGUAGGGGGCGAGCGUUGUCCGGAUUUAUUGGGCGUAAAGAGCUCGUAGGCGGUUCAACAAGUCGGUCGUGAAAGUUCAGGGCUCAACCCUGAAAUGUCGAUCGAUACUGUUGUGACUAGGAUACGGUAGAGGUGAGUGGAAUCCGAGUGUACGGUGAAAGCGUAGAUAUCGGAGAC